UCGGGGGGUCUUCCCGGCUCCCAGCACCCCCAAGAAGAUGGCUGCCGAUAAAUCUCGCGAGAAUUGUUGAAGUGUCGCGGUGACUCCCGGAGCCUGCUGGGAAGAGACGUAAGAUCAGUGGAGAGCGCGCUAGGCAAGGAGGGAAAGGCCGCUGAUUUCAGGAUCAGCGGGAACCCCAGCCCGUCCUCUGUAACAGACGGCGUGGCGCAUCGGCUGGAACGACCCUGCGACGGGAGCGCUCCUCUGAGAGCGUCCACUCGGAUGUGGCGGGAUGCAGGCGACCUGGGGAUUACAGAAGUGAAUCAAGAGCUGGACUUCCUUGGUGGCGCAGUGGUUAAGAAUCCACCAGCCAAUGCAGGGGACACGGGUUUGAGCCCUGGUCGGGGAAGAUCCCACAUGCCGCAGAGCAGCUAAGCCCGUGCACCACAACUACUGAGCCUGCGCUCUAGAGCCUGUGAACCACAACUACCGAGCCCACGUGCCGCAGCUACUGAAGCCUGCGUGCCUAGAGCCCGUGCUCAGCAACGAGAAGCAUGCACACCGCAACGAAGAGUAGCCCCUGCUCGCCGCAACUGGAGAAAGCCCGCACGCAGCAAAGAAGACCCAACGCAGCCAAAAAAUACAUAAAUAAAUUUAUUUUUUUUAAAAAAAGUGAAUCAAGAGCAUGUUAAUAAAGGGAAUACAGUUUUCUCAUCUGAGACUAGGCACUGAUGACUUGGAAAGAAAAAUAAUGCUUGCUGUGGUAAGGUAUAUCCUUAGGUAAUUUAAGAGGAAACACUUCAGCAAUUGCUGAUAGUGUAAAUUGGGAUCAGAGGACAUUCUAUCAUUUCCCCCUUGAUAAAUUCAGAGCACUUCUAGUAAAAAAAGAGUUUGUGGGACAAUCACCAGUUCUUCAGUGGGCACUCCAUUUAUACCUAUAAUUGCUUAUAAUGACUCCGUAUGGCAGUACUUUUAUAGAAGGGACCCAAAACAGUAUAGAGUAAGAAGACUAGGCGUUGUGCUAUUAAUACCCUGAGCUCUUAUUCCACAUAAGGAGAGGAAAAGUACUAAAAAAAAAAAAAAAAAAUGCUGUCCAAUAAAAGUAUAGUGUGAGCCACAUAUGUAAUUUUAACUUUUCUAGUGGCUACUUUUUCAAAAAGUAAAAAAAAGUGAAAUUAAUUUUAAUGAUA
Molecule: long non-coding RNA, 1169 nt
Organism: Balaenoptera acutorostrata (minke whale)
Lineage: Eukaryota; Metazoa; Chordata; Mammalia; Artiodactyla; Balaenopteridae
Exons: 3
Source: RefSeq, a predicted model, not a curated record